RNAcentral lists this long non-coding RNA (617 nucleotides) under Physcomitrium patens. Its description in RNAcentral is "long non-coding RNA (PPAT_LNC005710)". The record is from RNAcentral. Lineage: Eukaryota; Viridiplantae; Streptophyta; Bryopsida; Funariales; Funariaceae.
ACACAUGAUCUCUCGGCCAGUGGAUUCCAAAGGUUAUGACCUUUUGGAUUCUUAACUAUUUAUUCCUCUAUCAAUCUACUGUUAUCAAUUAAAUUAUCUAACUAUCAGUCUAAUUCUCAAGUUUAUCAAUAACCAACCAGUAACUUAUCACAAAGUUUAUUUACCUAUUCUACAUAGCCCCACUCCUAAUUGUGCAGCGUCCUUGUAAACAUUAUUUAGCCUCAAUUUAUAAAGAUGUAACAGCAUGGGCUUCUUGAGUCAAUGGCAUUGGCUUAUCAUCCUUUGAAUUGGUGACCUUUUCUUGUACUACAUCUUUGUCGUCUGUCUCGGUUAUCUAAGGUUCUCCAUCCAAACGUGCCAUCAGAUCUUCAUUCAACAAACAUAAUUUCUGUACUUGAGACUCACGUCAGACAAUUUGGUUGUCACACUCCUCCAACAUCUUCUGCCAUUCUUCUGUUGGUUUCAAAGAUAUCUCUGAAGGUGUUGUCGCUGAAACUGGCGUAUUGGUCCGCACUAAAUUAUUCACCUCCUUUGCUAAUGCAGCUAGUUUAGUCUCCAACAUCGCAACCUUUACUUGUAGCCGUUCUUGCUAUUCCUUUCAUUCAGUGUCCAUCCUU